GAUGAACGCCGGCGGUGUGCCUAAUACAUGCAAGUCGUACGCACUGGCCCAACUGAUUGAUGGUGCUUGCACCUGAUUGACGAUGGAUCACCAGUGAGUGGCGGACGGGUGAGUAACACGUAGGUAACCUCGCCCCGGACGCGGGGAGUAACAUUUGGAAACAGAUGCUAAUACCGCAUAACAACAAAAGACCGCAUGGCUUUUGUUUGAAAGAUGGCUUUGGCUAUCACUCUGGGAUGGACCUGCGGUGCAUUAGCUAGUUGGUAAGGUAACGGCUUACCAAGGCGAUGAUGCAUAGCCGAGUUGAGAGACUGAUCGGCCACAAUGGAACUGAGACACGGUCCAU
RNAcentral lists this ribosomal RNA (346 nucleotides) under uncultured bacterium. RNAcentral's name for it is "bacterial SSU rRNA". It matches the Rfam family "Bacterial small subunit ribosomal RNA", at positions 28 to 334 of the family's 1533-position model. The record is from RNAcentral.